RNA transcript from Cebus imitator (Panamanian white-faced capuchin), 828 nucleotides. It is a transcript of the gene named mitochondrial transcription rescue factor 1-like, with no coding region annotated. Lineage: Eukaryota; Metazoa; Chordata; Mammalia; Primates; Cebidae. The record is from RefSeq and is a predicted model, not a curated record. The transcript has a single exon.
CUGCAGGUGGGUUAGGGAGGGAUGAAAGGCUCUGACAUACAGGUUAUAAACGCCAUGGCUAUGACUAGUGUCAAGCUGCUUGCUGGUAUUUUAAGAAAACCAGACGUCUGGAUUGGACUCUGUGGUGUUCUCCGAAGGACAACUUUGUCAUACAAUCUCUGUACUUACUGGAAUCGAUACUUGUAUUUGUCUAGUACCAAGUUACAUGCACCAAAUUAUAAAACACUUUUCCAUAUUUUCUCGCUGAGACUCCCAGGGCUUUUAAUAUCUCCAGAAUAUAUUUUUCCAUUUUCCAUAUGACUCAAAAGUAAUAUAAGCUCUAAAAAAUCUACUAAAAAGUCUCUGCAAAAAGAUGAUGAAGAGGACUCUUAUGAAGAAAGUGAUCAUGACAAGAUGAGCGAGCAGGAAGCAAAGCUUGAGGAUGACCCUACUACACUGAAAGACUAUAAAGCCGUGGAAAAAGCAGUGCAGUCUUUUUGAUAUGAUGCUGUCCUGAAGAUGGGCCUAGACAUUGGGAGAAACAAAGUGGAAUAUGCAUUCUACAAAGGGGAACUCAGGCUGAAUGAGGAAAAAUUAUGGAAGAAAAGCAGAAUAGUCAAAGUGGGAGAUACACUGGAUCUUCUCACUGGAGAGGAUAAAUAUUUGAGGAGAAGACUGAAAGUAAAAAAUACAGUGGUGGUACAAUGGUGGAAAAUUUAAAGUUGCUUAAGAAGAGAAUGUCUAAAUAAAUGGAUUGCUUUUUAGCAAUAAAGCUGCUUUCUAGUGGCAGAGGAUGGGGUCAACUGAGAAAAAGGACAUUUUUAUGAAAAUAAAGUUCAGUGUUUGUGG